CAGCAGCCACGGGAAUACGAAGGGUGCAAGCGUUAAUCGGAAUUACUGGGCGUAAGGCGUGCGUAGGCGGUGAGUUAAGUCUGCUGUGAAAUCCCCGGGCUUAACCUGGGAACUGCAUUUGUGACUGGCGAGCUAGAGUAUGGCAGAGGGGGGUAGAAUUCCACGUGUAGCAGUGAAAUGCGUAGAGAUGUGGAGGAAUACCGAUGGCGAAGGCAGCCCCCUGGGCCAAUACUGACGCUCAUGCACGAAAGCGUGGGGAGCAAACAGGAUUAGAUACCCCCGUAGUCCCUGUCUCUUAUAC
Molecule: ribosomal RNA, 301 nt
Filed under: uncultured bacterium
Lineage: Bacteria
Description: partial 16S ribosomal RNA
Rfam family: Bacterial small subunit ribosomal RNA
Source: RNAcentral